Molecule: ribosomal RNA, 477 nt
Filed under: uncultured soil bacterium
Lineage: Bacteria
Description: bacterial SSU rRNA
Rfam family: Bacterial small subunit ribosomal RNA
Source: RNAcentral
AGAGUUUGAUCCUGGCUCAGAAUCAACGCUGGCGGCAUGCCUAACACAUGCAAGUCGAGCGAGAAAGUGUAGCAAUACAUGAGUACAGUGGCGCACGGGUGAGUAACACGUGGAUAACCUGCCUCAAAGUGGGGAAUAACACCGGGAAACCGGUGCUAAUACCGCAUAUUCUGACGAGAUCUGCGGAUUUUGUCAGGAAAGGAGCAAUUCGCUAUGAGAGGGGUCCGCGGCUGAUUAGCUAGUUGGUGAGGUAAUGGCUCACCAAGGCUUCGAUCAGUAGCCGGUCUGAGAGGACGGUCGGCCACACUGGAACUGAGACACGGUCCAGACUCCUACGGGAGGCAGCAGUGGGGAAUUUUUCGCAAUGGGGGCAACCCUGACGAAGCAAUGCCGCGUGGAUGAUGAAGUUUCUCGGUACGUAAAAUCCUUUCGACGGGGACGAAACCGCAAGGUGACGUACCCGAGAAGAGCCCCCCA